This is a long non-coding RNA of Coturnix japonica (Japanese quail), 1943 nucleotides long. RefSeq lists it as uncharacterized. The record is from RefSeq and is a predicted model, not a curated record. NCBI's taxonomy places the organism in Eukaryota, Metazoa, Chordata, Aves, Galliformes, Phasianidae.
CUUCCCUUCCCUUCCCUUCCCUUCCCUCUCUGAUGUUACUCAUCAGUGUAGAAUUUUCAAGUAUAUAAAAAGGGAAUGCCCUGAUAAAGCACAGUAUGAAAGCAUGACGAAACUUCAGUUUCAUCUGAAUGAGUCCAUCCUUACCUUGUGACCUUCAGGGAGCAGCUGUGAUCUCUGAAACAUGAAGGUUCAUUCUGCGGUGCGUCAUUAAAAGCGUUUCAUUGUUGGACAGUGCAGGACUCUUACUGGGAAAAUUGCUACUCUUGUUUUCUGUCCUGAUCCAGCUUCCCCUAGAGCUAAAAGAAAUCUGUUGUGCUCAGAGGGUAAAUGGCAAGGGAACGAAGCAUUUACUUCUGUUGUGCAGAAAGUCCAUCCCAAACUUGUCCAUAUUUCUGAUGCUGGAUGCAGUCCAUAGGUAAAAUUCUGCAGAGAGCAGGCCUUUGACCUACCAUAGAAGGUAAGAUAUCCAAAGAGACCAGCCAGAAGAUACAUGAUGAGCAUGCCAGUGAUGGAGAUAUUUGAGACAUUCUGCAUUCGCUUUCGGGAGCGACUGGAGUAGGAGAGAAAAAGAGUAACAGUACUAUUCUUAUAAGCCUCUGUUUGUACAAGAAGUACUCCGAGGAGCCUCUACUGAUAUUCCCUCAUUGGCUAGAAAGUUUAUAGCAGCUCUGUGCACUAUACAAAGCUCCUGGAGCUUUGCAACAAUAGCUAUGCACAGAAAAGCACCAAAAAAACUUUAUUUCUACUGCUUACUGAGUGACAACAUGUAAACAUUUUUUUUAUUUUUAAUUUUUUAAAUAUAUCAUUAUUUCUAUACUGUAAAUUUCAAAUGCAUUUUAAACAAAAAAUGGAUUAGCUAACACUAUAUGGCUGGUAACAAUAGUGAGACAAGAAUAUUCCUUUUCAUCUACAUAGCGCUGUUCUGCAGGUUCAAGUAUCUCCUGUAAGUCAGCUCCUUUCUUCAGAGAACCCUCGGUUAAAUAUUUCUUUAUAAGGAGAUCUUCAGCUUACAGAACCUGGAAACAAAUUCCAAAUCAUCUGAUAAUUCUUAAUUCUGAGGUUAAGCAUGUUAAAAUAGGAGGUAAUGGAGCUUAAAUGGCUCCUUGAGUUUUGCAACACAAACUUCUGCAAUAUAAUUCUUGUUGCUGAACAAGUGCAUUUUCUUAGCCUUUCCCAACUAUCAGCUCUGUGCUAGUUUAAGCAAAUGUAUUUGAUUUUGAUACUUGAUAAUCAAAAUGGGGUGGGUUAAGAGUCUGUGUAAGACGCUCAAACCAAUGGCAUCCCAGGGAACUUUAAGAGUAAGCGACAGCUGACUCUGACGAAGAAACUCAUGAAGAUAUUUUUAGAGACCAGAAUUCUCUGUUUCAGCACUGCCUGUUGUGCAGCCAAAUUCCCCAUCAUAUUUCAUGUCAUUCAAAGGGCUGUCCAGACUCAUCCUUUACUUAGUAAAUAUUAAUGCAGCUCUAUGAACAUCAGUUCUUUGUCAGUUCUUUGACUAAAGCAAAGCUGAUAUCUGUUUACUAUGGUGCAAAAUAAAUCAUUAUCAGGUAGGUGCCUAUACACCAGCAAUCAAGGCAAAACAGGAAGAAAGUAAUCUCUGCUAUGGUUAACUGGAAGUACGGGACAAAAUUUAAGAACCUUACUCUUUCAGUUCACUGUAUAUUGGUAGCACCUCAGGGUGGCAUACGAAUGCAAAUGCCAGGAUGGGAAUUGCAUAGGCAGUCUGUAAAAUAAAGCUCCCAUUAGUAAGAACGGUCACUGCUAUAAGUCUCUGACUUUUGGCAGGCAGCAGUUUAGCUGUGGUACAAACAGAAAAAGGCAAAUUCGACAGAAUUUCCCUUACCCGUGAGUUGAACACAAAGUAUUUGGGCUGACACGAGUCACUGCUGUCGCUGUGUGCUUCAUAUUCUACACCACUUCUGAGGAAAGUAUCUCUAGGCUCC